UCCUUGCCAGAAGGCUGAAGGACAUUCACACCAUUGAUCUCCUGGCUUGAAGAACAGGGAACGUUGUCUGGGUAUGUGUCGGGGGGUUAAGUGUGCAGGAGCCACGUCUACAUCUAUACAUGGCUGUAUCUGAAAUUAGUUUUAUGCUAGUUUAUUUGCAGAUCAGAGCAAGGAAGAAAAGCUCUCCAGUGAAGUGGAUUUUAGCUACAUUGUUGCCGCCUAUGGAUCAAACCCUAGUCUGAAGGCCAUGACUGCUGAGUGCGACCUCUGUGAUGAGAAAUCUUACUCAUGAUGUGGGUGUGACAGGAAACCACAGCUGUUAAAACCUCUGUCCUGAGGCACUCCAGGGAACUCAACUAUGCAGAGGACAGGAAAUGACUGACCAUCUAAAUUCUACCUGAAUCACCCUGACCAGCAGAGGAUGCUUCCCAUGGACUGCGGUGGUGUGAUCAUGACUCACUGCAGCCUCGACCUCCUGCCUGGGCUCAAGUGAACCUUCCGCCUCAGCCUCCAAGUAACUGGGACUAUAGGGCACCGGGAGCUGGUGGGCCAUACCUUGACAGCAUCCUCACUGCCGGCACAGGCUCCACGUUCAAUGAGGGAGUUGCCCAUGUCGAUAACCCCGCGGAUCCGGUCAGCAUUGGCAUGCAGCUCUGCUUCGAAAGCCUGGUGCUUCUGGUGCUUGCUCUAAAAAUACCAAAAAAACUUUUUCCAAACC
Molecule: long non-coding RNA, 718 nt
Organism: Pongo pygmaeus (Bornean orangutan)
Lineage: Eukaryota; Metazoa; Chordata; Mammalia; Primates; Hominidae
Exons: 4
Source: RefSeq, a predicted model, not a curated record